UGGAAUAUCUUUUUCCAUCCCCUCACUUUCAGUCUGUAUGUGUCCCUAGGUCUGAAGUGGGUCUCUUGUAGACAGCAUAUAAAUGGGUCUUGUUUUUGUAUCCAUUCAGCAAGCCUGUGUCUUUUGGUUGGAGCAUUUAAUCCAUUCACAUUUAAUGUAAUUAUUGAUAUAUAUGUUUCUAUUACCAUUUUCUUAAUUGUUUUGGGUUUGUUUUAGUAGGUCCUUUUCUUCUCUUGUGUUUCCCACUUAGAGAAGUUCCUUUAGCAUCUGUUGUAUAGCUGGUUUGGUGGUGCUGAAUUCUUUUAGCUUUUGCUUGUCUGUAAAGCUUUUGAUUUCUCCAGAGAAAUGUGAAUGAGAUCCUUGAUGGGUAGAGUAAUCUUGGUUGUAGUUUCUUCCCUUUCAUCACUUUAAAUAUAUUGUGCCAUUCCCUUCUGGCUUGUAGAGUUUCUGCUGAGAAAUCAGCUGUUAACCUUAUGGGAGUUCUCUUGUAUGUUAUUUGUCGUAUUUCCUUUGUUGCUUUUAAUAAUUUUUCUUUGUCUUUAAUUUUUGUCAAUUUGAUUACUAUAUGUCUUGGCGUGUUUCUCCUUGGGUUUAUCCUGCCUGGGACUCUCUGAGCUUCCAGACUUGGGUGGCUCUUUCCUUUUCCAUGUUAGGGAAGUUUUUGACUAUAAUCUCUUCAAAUAUUUUCUCGGGCCCUUUCUCUCUCUCUUCUCCUUCUGGGACCCCUAUAAUGCAAAUGUUGGUGCAUUUAAUGUUGUCCCAGUGGUCUCUUAGGCUCUCUUCAUUUCUUUUCCCUCUUUUUUCUUUAU
Molecule: long non-coding RNA, 809 nt
Organism: Orcinus orca (killer whale)
Lineage: Eukaryota; Metazoa; Chordata; Mammalia; Artiodactyla; Delphinidae
Exons: 3
Source: RefSeq, a predicted model, not a curated record